AGGAAAAGAAACCAACAGGGAUUGCCCUAGUAACGGCGAGUGAAGCGGCAACAGCUCAAAUUUGAAAUCUGGCUCUCGGGCCCGAGUUGUAAUUUGUAGAGGAUGCUUUUGAUGCGGUGCCUUCCGAGUUCCCUGGAACGGGACGCCAUAGAGGGUGAGAGCCCCGUCUGGUUGGAUGCCAAAUCUCUGUAAAGCUCCUUCGACGAGUCGAGUAGUUUGGGAAUGCUGCUCUAAAUGGGAGGUAUAUGUCUUCUAAAGCUAAAUACCGGCCAGAGACCGAUAGCGCACAAGUAGAGUGAUCGAAAGAUGAAAAGCACUUUGAAAAGAGAGUUAAAAAGUACGUGAAAUUGUUGAAAGGGAAGCGUUUAUGACCAGACUUGGGCUUGGUUAAUCAUCUGGGGUUCUCCCCAGUGCACUUUUCCAGUCCAGGCCAGCAUCAGUUUUCGCCGGGGGAUAAAGGCUUCGGGAAUGUGGCUCUCUCCGGGGAGUGUUAUAGCCCGUUGCGUAAUACCCUGGCGGGGACUGAGGUUCGCGCAUCUGCAAGGAUGCUGGCGUAAUGGUCAUCAACGACCCGU
RNAcentral lists this ribosomal RNA (575 nucleotides) under Fusarium cf. incarnatum OP 9.c. RNAcentral describes it as "eukaryotic LSU rRNA". It matches the Rfam family "Eukaryotic large subunit ribosomal RNA", at positions 54 to 652 of the family's 3401-position model. Lineage: Eukaryota; Fungi; Ascomycota; Sordariomycetes; Hypocreales; Nectriaceae. The record is from RNAcentral.